CAAAUGGCAGUUUGAAGGUUCACACUGGGUACUAGGGAAAUAUUCUUCACUGAGAAGAUAGUGGAAAUCCUCUUUAUGUCCAUUGCUCCUUGUCUUUCCUUUGAACUCCACUGAGAAGAGUGUGGCUCCAUAUUCUUUACUGUCUUCCUCCCUCAGGUAUUCAUAUUUAAUGUUAAGAGCUUCCAUGAGCCUUCUGAUCCCCAGGCUGAAUAGUUCCAGCCUCUCACUGUGGGAGAAGUGCUUCAGUCCUUUAAUCCUUUUCAUGAUGACCUGCACAGAAGUAAUUUCAGCACAUCUGUGUCUUGCUUGUACUGAAGAAUCCAGAACUGAACGCAGCAACACAGAUGAGUCUCAGAGGGGCUGAGGGAAGGGGAAGAAGGACAUGUCUUGAGCAGCUGGCAGUGCUCUUCCUGUUGCAGCUUAGGACUUGAUCUCGUAUUGACAGGGUUCUUGCUUUGAGUGGGACAAUUUUUGCCCAGAAAAUAUGUGAGACGACACCAAGAGGACUCUUGCUCAGAAUCCCCAAACUCAGCAGUCUGAACAGGAAGUGAAAAGGAACAUAAAAAUAUCAGUGGUACAAAGACUCAUGUAUGAAUUUGGGAAAUUAUGAAAGAAUAUGAAGACUCAUUUUGAAAUGCUGUAAAAUCUAACCUGAUUUUGAAAAUUACAGCCUAAAAAACUGUAGUGUUGACUCCUAAACAGAAGUUGGGAAUGGAAGUGGCAAGUGCCCUGUGUUCAUGUUGAGAGUAGGAGUUGCAGAUGCAGCUGGCAGAGAAUGCUUGUCCCUUGUGGACUAAGGCCAUUCGAGAACAGAGACAUCAGACAAAAAUUUGUUUACUGUCAUUUAAUAAACUUCUUUAUCCAAGGGAGUACGUCAGAAAGAUCAGAUAAGCAUACAACUGCUGUAUUCCCUACUGAAUGAGUAUGUAGUAAAGGACCAGCUGUUCUUAGUGAGUAACAUUGUUAAAGUCAAACAAAUUUUUUACUUGGCCUGGAUUUAUCGCACAAAUCCUUAUUCAAAGAAGUGGCACUCAAGCUACUUGAAAUAGUUGAAUUCCUCUGGAGGAUUUAAGUCAUUGGUGCCAAGUAACAGAAAGCUGAGGAAAAUAACUACAGUGAAAAAACAAAGAGGCUCAAGAUUGCUUGAGAGGGCUGUUCAAUCUCAUCCAACAUGGAUUAACAACUACGACAACAAAGCCACAACGACUCUGAAGCAUGUCAAGGCUGCCAAAUGUAAGGAAUACAAGAAAAGGAAUAGACUCACAGGGAAAGGGUUGCUGAACAAAGACAGAAUAUUUGUCAUGCAGGUUUUUUUUUUUUUUCAGGAAAUCUUUUUGCCUAAAUCUGAUUAUGUAAUAGCAAACAGCAGUGAUAUAUUUUCUGCUGUGGUAUAUACAGGUAUUCAUUACCUCUAUUGUUAAAAAGAUAAGGUUUUGCAGUAUUUAUACAAGGAAUUAGAAUUAAAUUUUCCAUUGAAAUUAAAAUGCUUUGGAACAUAUCUUGUGAAAAGUG
Molecule: non-coding RNA, 1512 nt
Organism: Cyanistes caeruleus (blue tit)
Lineage: Eukaryota; Metazoa; Chordata; Aves; Passeriformes; Paridae
Source: RefSeq, a predicted model, not a curated record